RNAcentral lists this ribosomal RNA (2796 nucleotides) under Salmonella enterica subsp. enterica serovar Gallinarum. RNAcentral's name for it is "partial 23S ribosomal RNA". It matches the Rfam family "Bacterial large subunit ribosomal RNA". Lineage: Bacteria; Pseudomonadati; Pseudomonadota; Gammaproteobacteria; Enterobacterales; Enterobacteriaceae. The record is from RNAcentral.
GGUUAAGCGACUAAGCGUACACGGUGGAUGCCCUGGCAGUCAGAGGCGAUGAAGGGCGUGCUAAUCUGCGAUAAGCGCCGGUAAGGUGAUAUGAACCGUUAUAACCGGCGAUACCCGAAUGGGGAAACCCAGUGUGAUUCGUCACACUAUCAUUAACUGAAUCCAUAGGUUAAUGAGGCGAACCGGGGGAACUGAAACAUCUAAGUACCCCGAGGAAAAGAAAUCAACCGAGAUUCCCCCAGUAGCGGCGAGCGAACGGGGAGGAGCCCAGAGCCUGAAUCAGCAUGUGUGUUAGUGGAAGCGUCUGGAAAGGCGCGCGAUACAGGGUGACAGCCCCGUACACAAAAGCGCAUGUGCUGUGAGCUCGAUGAGUAGGGCGGGACACGUGGUAUCCUGUCUGAAUAUGGGGGGACCAUCCUCCAAGGCUAAAUACUCCUGACUGACCGAUAGUGAACCAGUACCGUGAGGGAAAGGCGAAAAGAACCCCGGCGAGGGGAGUGAAAAAGAACCUGAAACCGUGUACGUACAAGCAGUGGGAGCACAGGUUUACCUGUGUGACUGCGUACCUUUUGUAUAAUGGGUCAGCGACUUAUAUUCUGUAGCAAGGUUAACCGAAUAGGGGAGCCGGAGGGAAACCGAGUCUUAACCGGGCGUUAAGUUGCAGGGUAUAGACCCGAAACCCGGUGAUCUAGCCAUGGGCAGGUUGAAGGUUGGGUAACACUAACUGGAGGACCGAACCGACUAAUGUUGAAAAAUUAGCGGAUGACCUGUGGCUGGGGGUGAAAGGCCAAUCAAACCGGGAGAUAGCUGGUUCUCCCCGAAAGCUAUUUAGGUAGCGCCUCGUGAAUUCAUCUCCGGGGGUAGAGCACUGUUUCGGCUAGGGGGCCAUCCCGGCUUACCAACCCGAUGCAAACUGCGAAUACCGGAGAAUGUUAUCACGGGAGACACACGGCGGGUGCUAACGUCCGUCGUGAAGAGGGAAACAACCCAGACCGCCAGCUAAGGUCCCAAAGUCAUGGUUAAGUGGGAAACGAUGUGGGAAGGCCCAGACAGCCAGGAUGUUGGCUUAGAAGCAGCCAUCAUUUAAAGAAAGCGUAAUAGCUCACUGGUCGAGUCGGCCUGCGCGGAAGAUGUAACGGGGCUAAACCAUGCACCGAAGCUGCGGCAGCGAACGUAUCACUUAAAGCGAUUCAGCGGGUUACGAUUGACGGAGCGAAGCGACGUCAAAGCGUAUACAAAGUCGAGUCGGUUUAAGGAUACGUUCGUUGGGUAGGGGAGCGUUCUGUAAGCCUGCGAAGGUGGCCUGUGAGGGUUGCUGGAGGUAUCAGAAGUGCGAAUGCUGACAUAAGUAACGAUAAAGCGGGUGAAAAGCCCGCUCGCCGGAAGACCAAGGGUUCCUGUCCAACGUUAAUCGGGGCAGGGUGAGUCGACCCCUAAGGCGAGGCCGAAAGGCGUAGUCGAUGGGAAACGGGUUAAUAUUCCCGUACUUGGUGUUACUGCGAAGGGGGGACGGAGAAGGCUAUGUUGGCCGGGCGACGGUUGUCCCGGUUUAAGCGUGUAGGUGUGUGUUCCAGGUAAAUCCGGUUCACUUUAACACUGAGGCGUGAUGACGAGGCACUACGGUGCUGAAGUAACAAAUGCCCUGCUUCCAGGAAAAGCCUCUAAGCAUCAGGUAACAUCAAAUCGUACCCCAAACCGACACAGGUGGUCAGGUAGAGAAUACCAAGGCGCUUGAGAGAACUCGGGUGAAGGAACUAGGCAAAAUGGUGCCGUAACUUCGGGAGAAGGCACGCUGACACGUAGGUGAAGUGAUUUACUCACGGAGCUGAAGUCAGUCGAAGAUACCAGCUGGCUGCAACUGUUUAUUAAAAACACAGCACUGUGCAAACACGAAAGUGGACGUAUACGGUGUGACGCCUGCCCGGUGCCGGAAGGUUAAUUGAUGGGGUCAGCGCAAGCGAAGCUCCUGAUCGAAGCCCCGGUAAACGGCGGCCGUAACUAUAACGGUCCUAAGGUAGCGAAAUUCCUUGUCGGGUAAGUUCCGACCUGCACGAAUGGCGUAAUGAUGGCCAGGCUGUCUCCACCCGAGACUCAGUGAAAUUGAACUCGCUGUGAAGAUGCAGUGUACCCGCGGCAAGACGGAAAGACCCCGUGAACCUUUACUAUAGCUUGACACUGAACAUUGAGCCUUGAUGUGUAGGAUAGGUGGGAGGCUUUGAAGUGUGGACGCCAGUCUGCAUGGAGCCGACCUUGAAAUACCACCCUUUAAUGUUUGAUGUUCUAACGUGGACCCGUUACCCGGGUUGCGGACAGUGUCUGGUGGGUAGUUUGACUGGGGCGGUCUCCUCCUAAAGAGUAACGGAGGAGCACGAAGGUUGGCUAAUCCUGGUCGGACAUCAGGAGGUUAGUGCAAUGGCAUAAGCCAGCUUGACUGCGAGCGUGACGGCGCGAGCAGGUGCGAAAGCAGGUCAUAGUGAUCCGGUGGUUCUGAAUGGAAGGGCCAUCGCUCAACGGAUAAAAGGUACUCCGGGGAUAACAGGCUGAUACCGCCCAAGAGUUCAUAUCGACGGCGGUGUUUGGCACCUCGAUGUCGGCUCAUCACAUCCUGGGGCUGAAGCAGGUCCCAAGGGUAUGGCUGUUCGCCAUUUAAAGUGGUACGCGAGCUGGGUUUAGAACGUCGUGAGACAGUUCGGUCCCUAUCUGCCGUGGGCGCUGGAGAACUGAGGGGGGCUGCUCCUAGUACGAGAGGACCGGAGUGGACGCAUCACUGGUGUUCGGGUUGUCAUGCCAAUGGCA